Molecule: long non-coding RNA, 7351 nt
Filed under: Hordeum vulgare
Lineage: Eukaryota; Viridiplantae; Streptophyta; Magnoliopsida; Poales; Poaceae
Description: long non-coding RNA (HVUL_LNC015534)
Source: RNAcentral
UGCCUCGCCGGGGCUACCUGGUUCUGCCCCGAGCUGGCCCCUCCUCCUCCUGUUGUGCUCGUCCUCGAGCAAGCUGGGGGAUGCAGCAUCGUAGUAGCUUCAUUUGAACCGGGACCCGACGUGACCCAUCACCGCGUGGAUCAAGCAGGAACGGGUCCGGAUCGAAUCCUGCGCCCAGAUCCGCUGCUCGGUUGCCUCAUCUCCGCCCCCACGCUCGCCGGAGAUCGCGUCAGGCACCCGCAACUCGCGUUCGUCAGCCAUACAGCAAACCAUCGUUGGUUCUGUUUUUCAGUCACAUCCGCGCUAAGGUAUGGUACAUAUUGCGUGGAUAUCCAUCUUGGAUUGAACUCAUGGCAUAGCUGAGCUGGUCAACCAACAACGCUUCCUAGCAAGAGGUCCUGGGUUCGAGUCUCAAUGACCCCAAUUUUGCCCUGUUUUUGUUUAAUUGCACCCUGCGGUGGGACUUGUUAUCCCAUGUUAGUCUGCUCAAGUAUCAUAGAGAUAGGCCUAGCCUGGUUGGCCAUCACGACUUGCCUCCACACACGAGGUCUUGGGUUCAAAUCCACCAGAUUACGCUUCUUUUUUUUGCACACACACACACUCAGCCCCUCGGGCUUAUUCAAUUAUGGCGUGUUGCACUAUGUUGCAAUUCGGCCCAUAGCUAUUUUUUCGCUGUCUACGUUUUUGCUAUUAACUAGCGAAUUUGCUAGAUUUCACAAAAUAGCAUGUUCCUCAACCGUCUGUAACUUUGUAACUGCUCAAUGGACCGGAACGAGUUAUAUAUAUAAGACGUGCAAAAUUUUGCGUAGAUUAAUAUUUUCCAACUCUCAUGCAUAAUUAGAACUGUUUAGUGUGUUGUUUACAUCUGUUUUGCGUGUCGACGUGUUCAAAAUGGUUUAGGUCAUAACUAUUUGUCCGUAGCUCCGUUGGAGAUGUGCCGUAUGUAAAUGGAGCAGAAUGACGAGUAGAAUCACGUCAACCACUUUGUUUUGCCGUUUAACAAACCUAAAAUGUGUUUAGGACAAAUCUGGAAAGAAUUAAGAUUUAACACGUGGGUCAUUUCGGAGAUGCUAUAUGACGUUUCCGGCCUCAUUUAAAAUGCCUAGCUAGGUAGAUUAAUUUGUGCUUCACCCCGUGCCAUGUUAACAACAUUUUAAUAUUGUCGUGUUAAUAAACAGGAAUGAACUAAAUAAUUAAACGUGGAGCUUCGUCGAUAUACAAAUCGUUGCAUAUCGGGCUUCACUUAAUGUGUANNNNNNNNNNNNNNNNNNNNNNNNNNNNNNNNNNNNNNNNNNNNNNNNNNNNNNNNNNNNNNNNNNNNNNNNNNNNNNNNNNNNNNNNNNNNNNNNNNNNNNNNNNNNNNNNNNNNNNNNNNNNNNNNNNNNNNNNNNNNNNNNNNNNNNNNNNNNNNNNNNNNNNNNNNNNNNNNNNNNNNNNNNNNNNNNNNNNNNNNNNNCAUCAUCUUAGGUUGUGUUGCAUGUCGUGCAUUUGCCAUGGUGAAUAUCUGUGUUGAUGUUUGUUUCCGGUUUGUUCGUCUCGAUAGAGUUCCGUAAGCGUGUCCGAAUGUGAGGACCCGUUCGACUACGUUGGUUCGCCGACUUCACAAAGUUGUUCUUCUUCCAAGCGGGAUCUCAGGCAAGAUGACCAUUUCCCCAGAUACCAUUACUAUCAUUGCCAUGCUAGUUUUACCGCUUCUAUCGAUUAUGUCUCGUUGCCUACCACAUGUUAAAUAUCAGCCUCUCAACAAUGCCAUGAUUACCUUCAACCUGCUCAACCUAGCAAACCACUGAUUGGCUAUGUUACCGCUUGCCUAACCAUGUUGUUAGUGUUGCUAGUUGCAGGUUAGUUGCUUCCAUGUGUUAACAUGGGUUCCUUGUUAUAUCACCAUAUUAAAUGCUAUUUAAUUUAAUGCAUCAAUAUACUUGGUAAAAGGUGGAAGGCUCGGCCUUUCUAGCCUGGUGUUUUGUUCCACCUUUGCCCCCUUAGUUUCGGCUACCGGUGUUAUGUUCCAUAAUUGAGCGCUCCUAACACGUUCGGGGUUGUUAUGGGGACCCCCUUGAUAAUUCGUUUUAGAUUAAAGCUGGUCUGGCAAGGCCCAACUUUGGUACUACAUUUUCCUAAUCACCUAAUAAAAUUGCAUAGGGACUUUCCGGACCCCAAGGAUAAUUUAAUCAACCCCCGGGCCAGUGCUCCACAUGAGUGUUGGUCCAAACUAGCAGGUAGGUGUUUAACACUGGUUCUAGAUAACUUGAAGUUAACUUAAUUAAAAUAUGCCAACUGUGUGCGUAACCAUGACUGUAUCUUUCGUGAGUUCCUUCUCCGAUCGAGGACACGGUGGGGUUAUGUCUGGCGUAGGUAGGUGUUCAGGAUCAUUUAUUUUGAUCAUCAGUAGUUCCCGUCCGUUAUGCGUAGAUCCUCCUCCUCUUAUUUCUCGUACUCGUAAGUUAGCCACUAUAGAUAUAUGCUUAGCCGCUGCUGCAACCUCACCACUUAACCUUACCUCACCCAUUAAGCUUUGCUAGUCUUGAUACCUUUGGAAAUGAGAUUGUUGAGUCCCCUGUGGCUCAGAGAUUACUACAACACCAGUUGCAGGUACAGGUAAAGGUUACUUGACGCGAGCGCGUUGAUUGUUCAUCUGGAGUUGCUUCUUCUUCUUCUUCAUCAUCGAUCUAGGAUGGGUUCCAGGCCGGCAGCCUGGGAUAGCAAGGAUGGACAUCGUUCUUCUUUUCUCGUUUGUUUUCGUCCGUAGUUGGACCCUGCUCGUACUCUUGAUGAUUAUGUAAUGUACUGAUGUGACUCUCAUGUAUCUUGUGGCGAGUGUAAGCCAAUUCUAAAUGUAUAUCUCAUCUUUUCAGUACAUGUACUUGUAACGAUAUCCAUUCUUGCGACACGACGAGAUGCGCUUCUAUCCCUGACGAGGCCUUCGUGCCAAAUUGAGGAUAGGGUCGCAUCUUGGGCGUGACAAGUUGGUAUCAGAGCAGUACCGACCUAGGAGCCCCCUUGAUUGAUCGAACAUGGCCGAGUCGAGUCUAGUGAAAAACUGCUUUGAGUCUAGUUAUAUAUCGGAGAGUACGAUUCUUUUUUCUCCUCUACUAUCCUCUGGUGAGGAAUCUUGACGUAAUAAUUUAAUUCUACUCCUCUUCUCACUCAAAAAAAUUUUAGGAUCACGCGGAUAUUCUUGGGAUCUAUAUGAUGCGGAUGUGACGGAGUUCUGUCUUGGUGCCUCCUAUCUGCUUUGAGUUUCAGGGGAGUUGAGCUCUAGGGGAUUCUCGAGCACAUCGUUAUCAUUCAGAUUUCUUAGUAUCUCAGAACGAAGGAUGUUCGUAAUUGCUUCAAUACUAGUAGUGGCGAGAUAACCCCGAUGUCCCCGGUACUGGUGCAGAUUGUUCGGGAGUACUGCCAUACUUUGUAUCAUUGUGAUCACGAGGGUCUGUUGUAGAUGAAGGUCCGAGAUUCUGGUCAUGUGUUGACGGAUGUGAUACAAGUGACGGGUUAGUAUAGGAGUUGUGUGAUUAUUACUCCUUGUAUCCGUGUACCAGAUUGCAUGACCAGAUAUUUCGGGAAUUCUUAGGUGGGAAUUCAAGUAGUUACUUAUAGGACAAUCUUCCAACAAAUGCAUGAUGUUAGGUUGGGGUUCGACAUCUAGUGGAUUCCUGUCCACGAAAAUAUCGGACGAAAUCUUUCUCAUGAGUUUGUUCUGGCUUGUUUCAUAAGCCUCACCCUUUGUUUGUUGGAAUAUGGUAACUCAAGUUGCUUCGGUGUCAAAUGGUGAUUUCAGAUCUUCUCUAAGAGGUGUUCUCAUAUUUUUAUGUGAGAAUGCAAAUUCUUUUGUUCGUUCAAUUGUCAUAUCAUUUUUGUCAACCGGAGUUGUCAUGUUAAUUCUUUUCCAACCGGCGUGUUUCUCUCCAAGUGGAUUCAAUCUUCUCCAGUUGUUGCAGAUCAUUCUCUCAUUUUAUUCCGGAGUUCAUCUCAUCUGUCCCAUGUUGUCUUUGUUUUUCCCGCCCUCCCACCCUUUUCUUCAGUGACUCAAUUUUCAUCCAAGAGUUUUCUUUUCAUUGUGCUUCCGCUGUGUGUUAUUUUCUCUCUUACCCGGUGAUUCGUUGUGAGGAUUCUCAGGAGCUUCAUGUUCAUCUUUAUGCAUUCUUGUCAUCCUUACCGGUGAAUUCAGUUUGGUUAUCCAUGGUCAUCAUAUCCUUUUCAACCAUUAAAUUCUUUCCGACGUUGGAAAUUCUUUGAGCCUAUCUUGUUACUAAUUCCUCUCUCUUUCUAUGCGGAGUGUUAAAGAUAUUUCAGGUGUUCUGGGUUUCAAUCCUUCAGUUAUUUCGAGGUGCUAACCUCAUCUAGUUUUCUUUUUACCGGUGCAAUAUCUCUCUUUCUAGCAAUUUUUCUAACGGUGGUUUCUUUGAGUGGGCCCAUAACCCACAGGUUCUUUCCCAGGAUCUUUCCUGGCGCUUUUAAUCUUUUCCCGAAGAUCUCUAAUUCUUUCAACUAUGACGUAAGUAUGAAUUUCAUCAGUCAUAUUCUUUCUUCAAGAUCUAUUCGAAUUAAUUCUCAUAUUUGGCUCAACAUUUCAUUCUUCAUUAUUCCGUAGUGUCUCGGUAUUCUUGGUGUUGUUUCUCGUCAUCAUUCUCAGCUUGUAGUCUGAAGGAGUGGUUCUCUCAAAUUUUGGUUCAUUCUCUUGAAGAUUCGUCAUUUCAGCUUCGUGAUAUCAUUUUGAAUUUGUUUUCCAUCAUGAGUAUCCCUUUAUUGCUAUCUGGUGCAUUUCUGAGUUGUUUUCAUUCUCGAUCCUCCGAAGGCCAUCAUUUUAGAAGAUUCUUCGUUCUCAGCUUUCAGCUUUCAUCCUCGAUUCUUCUCAAUUGUUGUCUCUUCGUUCGUCUCUCGAUUAUCCGAUGCCUUGUUCAAGUUUUCUGUUAGGUGGAUCACGAUCUCUUCAUUCUCAUGUAUCUCCAUUAAUUCGUGGUGUUCCCAUUCAAUUGUGAAUUCUUACCGGUGCUUCAUUCAUUUGUGCCUCAAGUGGUGCUUAUCUCUCUAUCUCUUCAAGAUUCUUUCAAGAAGAAUAAGUUGUAUGCUAAAUCCGUUGCUUGUCAUCAAUUAAACUUGAUGAAGGAUAAGCAUAACAUAAUUCUUAUUCUUGUUCAUAGUAAUUUGCAUUCUUCUUCCAGAGUGGCUCAUAUUAUCAAUUCCUUUUUCUCAAGUGUUCUUUUUUUUCCUGGAGUUCCAAGUUUCUCAAGUAUCUCUUCGUGAAGCUUAAUCGAAGUCUUUGCAAGGCUUCAAUCUUAUUCUUUCAUCCUUCUUAUCUUUGCAUCAUCCUUUUGUUACGAAGGCUCGUCAUGGUGGUUCUUCAAGGAUGUGAUUCAUUCUAAAGUGUUCUUCAAGAUUCUUGCUGGAGCACCUCAAAUAUCUUUUCUCUUGCAUUUCUAUGUGCAAUUGUUCUCCUUUAUUCCUUGAGGUGGUAUUAUAGCAUUCUUGUUAGUGUAGGAGCCUCGAAGAGUUUUCCUUUCAAGAAUGAGAUAUUAAACCACAAAUUUUAUGAUCAUGAGAUAUUUUCAACCCAUGAUUUCUUCAUUGAGCUAACUUGGUACGGAUUGUUGCUAUCAUGGUGCUUGUCGUUAAUCCAAGUUCUCAAUGUAUCCUCUUGGUGUAAGGAAUUGUUCAUAUCUUGUUUCUCCCAAUCAUUCAUUGUUUCUUUUAGUGGGUGGUUGUCAUCUCAUAAAUGUGAGAUGAUUUUCAUAAGCCCACUACUAUCUUGUUCUUUUCGUUGUUGUUUUUCCAACAACUCCGUCCAAUUUUUCUUGCAAGCAUGCUUGCCAAGUUCAUUGGAGUUAGUAGUUGUCAUUCUCUCUUCAUUCUCUUCUUCCGUAUGAGCUAGUUCCUAUUCUAUUGUUCCGGAGGCAUUGUGAUGUUGCUCUUUUGGGUCAAUCUUGUUGUUCUAUCAAGAUCAUGGUGUUCCCUUGUUCUAUUUAGUUGUUUGAUAUGUGUAUUGUCUAAUUCUUCCAUCUUAUUGAAUUUUUGUCCCAUUUUCCUACCGAAGUGCUCCCGAAAUUUUCCGUGAAUUAUUGCUUCUUUCCCAUAUCAUUACUCAUCUCUUUGCAACUUUCAAGGAUCGUUGGUUUCACUCGUUUGUCAAAGAAGCGACGAAGUUCUUACCUCUUGUUCUUUCUCAUCCUCUCCCCCUUUCAUUCUUGGAUCUCAGGGCGAGAUCCUCUUGUAGUGUAGGAGAGUUGUGACAGCCCGGUGCCGACGUUCCAGAAGAUUCCCCUUCUAUUCCGUUUUCGUAAUGUGUCUAUUUUCUGUUGUCGCAUCAUCAUCGCAUCAUGCGCAUCAUCUGCAUUGCAUCGGCAUCUCCGUUGCCGCCAGUUUUCAAACUUGCAUCCAUUGUUAGUUGUCGGUUCUCGUCGUUGUCCGUUCUGAGCCCGACCGCACACGCACGCGCCCGCAGCGUCGUCAAAUCCUUGUUUUUAAAAGUGUGCGUAAAACUUUCUCUGAUUGGGUUGAGAUUUGACGUGCGGUCUUAUUUUAAUAUAGGUAGGCUGCCUGUCAAAUUUUGUCGCGAUCGGAGUUCGUCUCGUAACCGAACGGUCGACCGUAGUGGCACCGUAUUCGGUCUAUCGUCGGACGUGUUUCGGUGUUUUAAAAAUACGUUGUCGGGUGGCGUUUUCCCUCUCAUCUCCGCCUAGCCCCUGUGCACACUGCUCCGUCCCUACGCGCAACCCAGUCCGACCCCCCCCCCCGACCCGAAAGUACGCUCGUGACCAUGGGGUCCGGAUCAACCCCGUUUUACCGCAAAUCGUCACCGAUUUGUCAACUAGACUCCCUAAACUAGUCAUUUUGACCGUCCGAUUUAAUCAAAGGGUCCAAAUGCCAAUUAGACCCAACCCUAANCGGUGCCCCGCGCCUCCGACCUUCGGGCAGCGCCAGUGUGCCUCGCCGGGGCUACCUGGUUCUGCCCCGAGCUCGCCCCUCCUCCUCCUGUUGUGCUCCUCCUCGAGCAAGUUGGGGGAUGCAGCAGCGUAGUAGCUUCGUUUGAACCGGGACCUGACGUGACCCAUCACUGCGUGGAUCAAGCAGGAACGGGUCCGGAUCGAAUCCUGCGCCCAGAUCCGCCGCUCGGUCGCCUCAUCUCCGCCCCCAGGCUCGCCGGAGAUCGCGUCAGGCACCCGCAACUCGCGUCCGUCGGCCAUACAGCAAACCAUCGCUGGUUCUGUUUUUCAGUCAGAUCCGCGCUAAGGUAUGGUACAUAUUGCGUGGAUAUCCAUCUUGGAUCGAACUCAUGGCUUAGCUGAGUUGGUCAACCAACAACGCUUCCUAGCAGUAGGUCCUGGGUUCGAGUCUCAACGACCCCAAUUUUGCC